AACGAACGCUGGCGGCAUGCCUAACACAUGCAAGUCGAACGAGACCUUCGGGUCUAGUGGCGCACGGGUGCGUAACGCGUGGGAACCUGCCCUUAGGUUCGGAAUAACUCCCCGAAGGGGGUGCUAAUACCGGAUAAUGUCUUCGGACCAAAGAUUUAUCGCCUUUGGAUGGGCCCGCGUUGGAUUAGCUAGUUGGUAGGGUAAAAGCCUACCAAGGCGACGAUCCAUAGCAGGUCUGAGAGGAUGAUCAGCCACACUGGGACUGAGACACGGCCCAGACUCCUACGGGAGGCAGCAGUGGGGAAUAUUGGACAAUGGGCGAAAGCCUGAUCCAGCAAUGCCGCGUGAGUGAUGAAGGCCUUAGGGUUGUAAAGCUCUUUUACCCGGGAUGAUAAUGACAGUACCGGGAGAAUAAGCUCCGGCUAACUCCGUG
RNAcentral lists this ribosomal RNA (433 nucleotides) under uncultured bacterium. Its description in RNAcentral is "partial 16S ribosomal RNA". It matches the Rfam family "Bacterial small subunit ribosomal RNA", at positions 29 to 507 of the family's 1533-position model. The record is from RNAcentral.